Nannospalax galili (Upper Galilee mountains blind mole rat) is the source of this 488-nucleotide long non-coding RNA. RefSeq lists it as uncharacterized. NCBI's taxonomy places the organism in Eukaryota, Metazoa, Chordata, Mammalia, Rodentia, Spalacidae. The record is from RefSeq and is a predicted model, not a curated record. The transcript is spliced from 3 exons.
GUGCUGAGAUGCUGGUUGUAGAGUUUCAUUGCAAUCAAUACCUGACCCGAAGAUGGAGUUGCAACGAGGAAAGCUGCUACCUCCCAACUGUAACUCAUUGAUCUUCAGAGGGAGAAUGGUUAGACCAACACCAUGUAAGGAGUGUCAGAUACUUUCAUGCUGGCUUCUAUAACAUCAACAACGUUAUCUAUAUGGCAUGGUUACCUGAUAAUACAGGCAAUAACUGAGACAGCAGGAGAGGAAAUGGAAUUACUGGAAGAGGAAGAAAUUGAUACAGUGCUUAGUCAGAGCUGAAGGAGAUUGAAAAGAGAAAACCACAGAAUGGUGGCUGCUGAAAGGAAACCUGUGCGUCUUGCACAUUCAGCUCAUCAGUCUAAAAAUGUCCAAAAGAAGUCAACAGCAGACCAAGUGACAUGAAAUUGCCUUAUUUUGGUAGUAUACAUAUCAAAUUGAAAUAAUGCUGACCUUGUAUUUUCCAUUUCUGUAAA